CCUCCAAAGGAGUCCCUUUCUCCGCCCUUGCCCUCUUUUAGAAUCGUAGAAUAAACAAGGUUGGAGAGGGACCUGGGAGGGAGCUGAAAUGUAGUGAUUUUAUUUUAUUUUAUUUUGAUUUAUUUUUAUAUGCCGCCCUUCUCCGGAGCUCAGGGCGGCUUACAAUGCGUUAAGCAAUAGCCUUCAUACUUUUGUAUAUUUUUAUACAAAGCUUAUUGCCCCCACAAACUGGGUCCUCAUGAUAUGCUACCAUCAUGUGUGGAGAUGCUAUCAUCGUGAUCUGUUACCAGCGUGACAGCGUGCUGCUGUUUAUUAUCUACUGCUGUUUUUGUAUGCACCAGCAAAUCAAUGUCACAACCUACAACAACAGAUCAGCUUCCCCAGAACUACCUUCACGAGAAGCCUUGUGACGUCCCCGGGAUUCCUGUCAAACUGGAUCGGGAGCAAAGCCCAAACAGGAAAGAAUGGUUGAAAAGUGCACUAUUUGCAUGGAGAAUCCACCCUCAAGCUGGAAGUAAGGUCAACCUGCUACACAACUGAAGCACUUUCUAGGGAUUUCUCCCACCCCAAAAUGGGCUAAGCUAUGAUUUGAUGGCAUUUGGAAGGUGGAUGCAUCUUACACAGUGGUGGGUUUCAAAUUUUUUUUAUUACCGGUUCUGUGGGCGUGGCUUGGGUGUGGUGUGGCUUGGUGGGCGUGGCAGGGGAAGGUUACUGCAAAAUCCCCAUUUCCACCUGGUCAGCUGGGACUUGGGAGGCAGAGAAUAGAUUGGGGCGGGGCCAGUCAGAAUUUUUA
Non-coding RNA from Pantherophis guttatus, 793 nucleotides. Lineage: Eukaryota; Metazoa; Chordata; Lepidosauria; Squamata; Colubridae. The record is from RefSeq and is a predicted model, not a curated record.